AUAUAGGCUUUAUUGAAAGCCAAUCCAUAGUCGUUUGAACAAAUAUU
Callithrix jacchus (white-tufted-ear marmoset) is the source of this 47-nucleotide non-coding RNA. Lineage: Eukaryota; Metazoa; Chordata; Mammalia; Primates; Cebidae. The record is from Rfam.